GUUUGAUCAUGGCUCAGAACGAACGCUGGCGGCGUGCCUAACACAUGCAAGUCGCGCGAGAAAAGGGGGGCAACUCCCUGAGUAAAGCGGCGCACGGGUGAGUAACACGUAGGUAACCUACCCCCGAGUCCAGGAUAACCUGCCGAAAGGUGGGCUAAUACCGGAUAUGACCACGGGAGCCUCGGCUCCUGAGGUGAAAGGUGGCCUCUGCUUGCAAGCUACUGCUCGAGGAUGGGCCUGCGCGCCAUUAGCUAGUUGGUGGGGUAACGGCCCACCAAGGCGAUGAUGGCUAGCUGGUCUGAGAGGAUGGCCAGCCACACUGGGACUGAAACACGGCCCAGACUCCUACGGGAGGCAGCAGUGGGGGAUAUUGCGCAAUGGGCGAAAGCCUGACGCAGCGACGCCGCGUGGGUGAUGAAGGCCUUCGGGUCGUAAAGCCCUGUCGAGGGGAACGAAACGGCUCCGACCUAACACGUCGGGGCCCUGACGGUACCCCUAAAGGAAGCACCGGCUAACUCCGUGCCAGCAGCCGCGGUAAUACGGAGGGUGCAAGCGUUGUUCGGAAUCACUGGGCGUAAAGGGCGUGUAGGCGGCCGGCUAAGUCUGAUGUGAAAGCCCGGGGCUCACCCCCGGAAGGGCAUUGGAUACUGGCAGGCUCGAGUCCCGGAGAGGAGGGUGGAAUUCCUGGUGUAGCGGUGAAAUGCGUAGAUAUCAGGAGGAACACCGGUGGCGAAGGCGUCCCUCUGGACGGUGACUGACGCUGAGACGCGAAAGCGUGGGGAGCAAACAGGAUUAGAUACCCUGGUAGUCCACGCUGUAAACGAUGAGCACUAGGUGUCGUGGGUAUUGACCCCCGCGGUGCCGUAGCUAACGCAUUAAG
Molecule: ribosomal RNA, 880 nt
Filed under: uncultured bacterium
Lineage: Bacteria
Description: bacterial SSU rRNA
Rfam family: Bacterial small subunit ribosomal RNA
Source: RNAcentral